CAAAGCCGCAUAUGGCUCAUUACAACAGCCAUAGUUUAUUAGAUUGUACUUUCCUACUUGGAUAACUGUGGUAAUUCUAGAGCUAAUACACGCAGCAAAGCUCGGACUCACGAACGAGCGCAUUUAUUAGAGCAAACCAAUCAGGUGAAAACCUGUCCUUUGGUGAAUCUGAAUAACUUUGCAGAUCGCACGGUCUCGCACCGGCGACAUAUCUUUCAAAUGUCUGCCUUAUCAACUUUCGAUGGUAGUUUAUACGCCUACCAUGGUUGUAACGGGUAACGGAGAAUAAGGGUUCGACUCCGGAGAGGGAGCCUGAGAAACGGCUACCACAUCCAAGGAAGGCAGCAGGCACGCAAAUUACCCACUCCCGGCACGGGGAGGUAGUGACGAAAAAUAACGAGGCGGUUCUCUAUGAGGCCCGCCAUCGGAAUGGGCACAAUUUAAAUCCUUUAACGAGGAUCUAUUGGAGGGCAAGUCUGGUGCCAGCAGCCGCGGUAAUUCCAGCUCCAAUAGCGUAUAUUAAAGUUGUUGCGGUUAAAAAGCUCGUAGUUGGAUCUGCGGUCAAGGGAAGUGGUCCUCCGACGGAUGUUACUGCUUUUCCUGACCUAAUACUUUGGUUUUCCCCUGAUGCUCUUAACCGAGUGUCUUGGGCGACCAAAACGUUUACUUUGAAAAAAUUAGAGUGCUCAAAGCAGGCGUUCAGCCUGAAUAGUGGUGCAUGGAAUAAUAAAAGAGGAUCUCGGUUCUAUUUUGUUGGUAUUGGAUUGAGAUAAUGAUCGACGGGGAUAGACGGGGGCAU
RNAcentral lists this ribosomal RNA (799 nucleotides) under Tobrilidae sp. P25-GBOLF. RNAcentral describes it as "SSU rRNA". It matches the Rfam family "Eukaryotic small subunit ribosomal RNA", at positions 82 to 891 of the family's 1831-position model. Lineage: Eukaryota; Metazoa; Nematoda; Enoplea; Triplonchida; Tobrilidae. The record is from RNAcentral.